This 1370-nucleotide ribosomal RNA is filed under the name uncultured bacterium. RNAcentral's name for it is "bacterial SSU rRNA". It matches the Rfam family "Bacterial small subunit ribosomal RNA". The record is from RNAcentral.
AGAGUUUGAUCCUGGCUCAGAACGAACGCUUGCGGUGUGGAUAAGACAUGCAAGUCGAACGAGAGAAUUGCUAGCUUGCUAAUAAUUCUCUAGUGGCGCACGGGUGAGUAACACGUGAGUAACCUGCCCCCGAGAGCGGGAUAGCCCUGGGAAACUGGGAUUAAUACCGCAUAGUAUCGAAAGAUUAAAGCAGCAAUGCGCUUGGGGAUGGGCUCGCGGCCUAUUAGUUAGUUGGUGAGGUAACGGCUCACCAAGGCGAUGACGGGUAGCCGGUCUGAGAGGAUGUCCGGCCACACUGGAACUGAGACACGGUCCAGACACCUACGGGUGGCAGCAGUCGAGAAUCAUUCACAAUGGGGGAAACCCUGAUGGUGUGACGCCGCGUGGGGGAAUGAAGGUCUUCGGAUUGUAAACCCCUGUCAUGUGGGAGCAAAUUAAAAAGAUAGUACCACAAGAGGAAGAGACGGCUAACUCUGUGCCAGCAGCCGCGGUAAUACAGAGGUCUCAAGCGUUGUUCGGAAUCACUGGGCGUAAAGCGUGCGUAGGCUGUUUCGUAAGUCGUGUGUGAAAGGCGCGGGCUCAACCCGCGGACGGCACAUGAUACUGCGAGACUAGAGUAAUGGAGGGGGAACCGGAAUUCUCGGUGUAGCAGUGAAAUGCGUAGAUAUCGAGAGGAACACUCGUGGCGAAGGCGGGUUCCUGGACAUUAACUGACGCUGAGGCACGAAGGCCAGGGGAGCGAAAGGGAUUAGAUACCCCUGUAGUCCUGGCAGUAAACGGUGCACGCUUGGUGUGCGGGGAAUCGACCCCCUGCGUGCCGGAGCUAACGCGUUAAGCGUGCCGCCUGGGGAGUACGGUCGCAAGAUUAAAACUCAAAGAAAUUGACGGGGACCCGCACAAGCGGUGGAGUAUGUGGCUUAAUUCGAUGCAACGCGAAGAACCUUACCUGGGCUUGACAUGUAAUGAACAACAUGUGAAAGCAUGCGACUCUUCGGAGGCGUUACACAGGUGCUGCAUGGCCGUCGUCAGCUCGUGUCGUGAGAUGUUUGGUUAAGUCCAGCAACGAGCGCAACCCCUGUUGCCAGUUACCAGCACGUGAAGGUGGGGACUCUGGCGAGACUGCCCAGAUCAACUGGGAGGAAGGUGGGGACGACGUCAGGUCAGUAUGGCCCUUAUGCCCAGGGCUGCACACAUACUACAAUGCCCAGUACAGAGGGGGCCGAAGCCGCGAGGCGGAGGAAAUCCUGAAAACUGGGCCCAGUUCGGACUGUAGGCUGCAACCCGCAUACACGAAGCCGGAAUCGCUAGUAAUGGCGCAUCAGCUACGGCGCCGUGAAUACGUUCCCGGGUCUUGCACUAACCGCCCGUCA